This 497-nucleotide ribosomal RNA is filed under the name uncultured bacterium. RNAcentral's name for it is "partial 16S ribosomal RNA". It matches the Rfam family "Bacterial small subunit ribosomal RNA", at positions 28 to 507 of the family's 1533-position model. The record is from RNAcentral.
GAUGAACGCUGGCGGCGUGCCUAAUACAUGCCAGUCGAGCGAACAGACGAGGAUCUUGCUCCUCUGACGUUAGCGGCGGACGGGUGAGUAACACGUGGAUAACCUACCUAUAAGACUGGGAUACCUUCGGGAAACCGGAGCUAAUACCGGAUAAUAUAUUGAACCUCAUGGUUCAAUAGUGAAAGACGGUUUUGCUGUCACUUAUAGAUGGAUCCGCGCCGCAUUAGCUAGUUGGUAAGGUAACGGCUUACCAAGGCAACGAUGCGUAGCCGACCUGAGAGGGUGAUCUGCCACACUGGAACUGAGACACGGUCCAGACUCCUACGGGAGGCAGCAGUAGGGAAUCUUCCGCAAUGGGCGAAAGCCUGACGGAGCAACGCGGCGUGAGUGAUGAAGGUCUUCGGAUCGUAAAACUCUGUUAUUAGGGAAGAACAAAUGUGUAAGUAACUAUGCACGUCUUGACGGUACCUAAAGAAAAAGCCACGGCUAACUACGUG